Molecule: ribosomal RNA, 458 nt
Filed under: uncultured bacterium
Lineage: Bacteria
Description: partial 16S ribosomal RNA
Rfam family: Bacterial small subunit ribosomal RNA
Source: RNAcentral
CCUACGGGAGGCAGCAGUGAGGAAUAUUGGUCAAUGGGCGGGAGCCUGAACCAGCCAAGCCGCGUGAAGGAAGAAGGCGCCAAGCGUCGUAAACUUCUUUUGUCGGGGAGCAAAAGCCGGACGUGUCCGGCUGUGAGAGUACCCGAAGAAAAAGCAUCGGCAAACUCCGUGCCAGCAGCCGCGGUAAUACGGAGGAUGCGAGCGUUAUCCGGAUUUAUUGGGUUUAAAGGUUGCGCAGGCGGUUUUUUAAGUCAGCGGUCAAAUCGUGGGGCUCAACCCCAUCCAGCCGUUGAAACUGGGGAUCUAGAGUGUGCGAGAGGUAUGCGGAAUGCGUGGUGUAGCGGUGAAAUGCAUAGAUAUCACGCAGAACCCCGAUUGCGAAGGCAGCAUACCGGUGCACAACUGACGCUCAGGCACGAAGGCGUGGGUAUCGAACAGGAUUAGAUACCCCAGUAGUC